Molecule: long non-coding RNA, 685 nt
Filed under: Helianthus annuus (common sunflower)
Lineage: Eukaryota; Viridiplantae; Streptophyta; Magnoliopsida; Asterales; Asteraceae
Description: hypothetical non coding rna
Source: RNAcentral
GGAAAAUUUAAUCAUCAAAACUCUGAAUCUUUUUUAUUCAACUUGAGAGCAUAUCAGGAACAGUUUGAAAACCAUUCUCAUGUCAAAACCAUUUCCUAAACCGUGGUUCAAAACUCAAAACCAUCUUCACAUCUAACCGAGCGUUAUUCAACUAUUCUUAAAGAAACAUUAAAAAAGAGUGAGGGAAAGAGGAGAGGGGGACGGACCACCAAACCUAGCCGUCGGUGUGUGCAGACACGCGACUAUCACCAUCGUUCGCAAAGUUGAAUUUCCAGAAAAAAAACGGGUUUCUGUGUUACUAUAGCUGCUUGAUCCUACCUUGAUUUCAUCUCUUGCCACCAGAUUUAUCUAGAAAACACCGGCGCCGCCGCUGUCGGAGCAUGGCAGCGGCUCCCCUUUUUCUCUAGUUGCCGGAAAUCGAUAAACCACCAUUUAACCGAGAUUGUGGCCUGGAAUCCACCAUGUAACGUCGUCUCCUGUAAUUCUGUAAAGCCUUCACAUUGCCGGAAACCUAAUUGAUUAUUCGAUACGUGUUAUGGUUUCUCGUACGAUGCUAUUGACCGGAGAAUUAUUUGAUUCCGGUGGAUUCGAAUGGACUUUCAUCUUCCUUAGUCAGAUUGAAAAUACAUGCAAAUAUUGUACGAAUCGCUGACUUCCCUGUUAACGAAUUGAUGUAAAAGUUGGC